AUCGAACGCUGGCGGCAGGCUUAACACAUGCAAGUCGAGCGGGGGAAGGUAGCUUGCUACUGGACCUAGCGGCGGACGGGUGAGUAAGGCUUAGGAAUCUGCCUAUUAGUGGGGGACAACAUCUCGAAAGGGAUGCUAAUACCGCAUACGUCCUACGGGAGAAACCAGGGGAUCUUCGGACCUUGCGCUAAUAGAUGAGCCUAAGUCGUAUUAGCUGGUUGGUGGGGUAAAGGCCAACCAAGGCGACGAUCUGUAGCGGGUCUGAGAGGAUGAUCCGCCACACUGGGGCUGAGACACGGACCAGACUCCUACGGGAGGCAGCAGUGGGGAAUAUUGGACAAUGGGGGGAACCCUGAUCCAGCAAUGCCGCGUGUGUGAAGAAGGCCUUAUGGUUGUAAAGCACUUUAAGCGAGGAGGAGGCUACUUUAGUUAAUACCUAGAGAUAGUGGACGUUACUCGCAGAAUAAGCACCGGCUAACUCUGUGCCAGCAGCCGCGGUAA
RNAcentral lists this ribosomal RNA (501 nucleotides) under uncultured bacterium. Its description in RNAcentral is "partial 16S ribosomal RNA". It matches the Rfam family "Bacterial small subunit ribosomal RNA", at positions 30 to 523 of the family's 1533-position model. The record is from RNAcentral.